CUUUCCCCUCCUUCCUCUAAGAUCUCCCUCUUCCACUCGCCCUCUCAUUAGAGCUGCUGAAUUAUUUAACAUCAGACAGUGGGCUUGGCUGCUGAGCCAGAAGGAGAUGAAGAGGAGAGGAGGAAAAGCUGGAGAGACGGAGAAGCAUGGAGGUGUCCGAUACUGCGGGAAGUCGUGAGUCAGCAGGGAGAGAAAGGAGCAGUGGGAGGGAGGAGUGAAGGAGUUUAUAGAUAGCUUUAGGUGAUACGACAGGAGAGAGUGGCGUCAAAUGCCUCCCGGUGCGUUUGUGUCCGUGUUUGUGCAUGCGCGCAUCGAUUGAGCGGAGAAGGUCAUGGAGCUGAGAGGAGAUUAGCAAACUAGACUCGGAGUAGGGGGAGCGCGGCAGCAGAGCUAACGCCUCCUCUGAAUAGCGCAGAAACAGGAGGGCUCAAUACAAAAAGGACAAGAGGAGCUGUUGCAGUAUGGGGGAGAGCUAUAUGUACCAGCGACUCCCCUACACCAGAGGAGAGGGGGAGGGGGAGGAUGAAGAGGCGGGAGACAGGAGUGUCGGUGGACAAAUGAUGCAGUGUGAGGAGGGCACAGAGUGGCUGCUGGAGCUGCUGACAGAUGUGCAGCUGCAGCAGUACUUCCUUCGGAUCCGUGAUGAUCUCAACGUCACACGACUCUCACACUUUGACUACGUCAAGAAUGAAGACCUGGAGAAGAUCGGCAUGGGACGCCCAGGUCAGAGGAGGCUCUGGGAGGCAGUCAAGAGGAGACGAGCCCUUUAUAAAAGAAAAUCCUGGAUGAGCAAGGUGUUUCCAGUGAAACGACCGGACGCUGACACACAGCAGCCCCACGGGGCAUCGUCUGCCGCGGCCCCGGCCAGUAGUGAGUCAGGGGCCGCGCUCACCUGCCUGAUUAGAGAGUCGGAGCUUCAGCUGUUUGAGCGGCUUGGAGACGGGACAUUCGGGGUGGUGCGGCGAGGAGAGUGGACUGCACCCAACGGCAGAGUGUUGUCAGUGGCAGUAAAAUGCCUGAAAUCAAAUGUACUGGACUCAGACGGUCUGGAUGAUUUCAUCAGAGAGGUGAAUGCCAUGCAUUCACUGAGCCACCAAAACCUCAUCCGCCUGUAUGGCAUCGUCCUCACACAGCCUAUGAAGAUGGUGACUGAGCUGGCUCCUCUGGGCUCCCUGUUGGAUCGGCUCAGAAAGCGGCAGGGUCACAUCCUCAUCUCCUCGCUGUGUAACUAUGGCGUGCAGGUGGCCUGUGGGAUGGCUUACCUGGAGCAGAAGCGUUUCCUCCACAGGGACCUCGCAGCCCGUAAUGUGCUGCUGUCCACCAAUGAAACUGUGAAGAUUGGAGACUUUGGCCUAAUGAGGGCACUGCCUAAACACACCGACCAAUACGUCAUGGAGGAAGGCCACAAAAUCCCUUUCCCAUGGUGUGCUCCAGAGUCUCUGAAGUCUCGCACUUUCUCUCACGCAUCUGACACCUGGAUGUUUGGGGUCACCCUUUGGGAGAUGUUCACCCACGGACAGGAGCCGUGGCUGGGUCUGAAUGGGAGCCAGAUCCUUCACAAGGUGGACGUGGAAGCUGAGAGGCUGUGUAAACCAGACGAUUGUCCUCAGGAUAUCUACAAUGUGAUGCUGCAGUGCUGGAGCCCCAAACCUGAAGACAGACCAACUUUCAUUGCCCUCAGAGACUUCCUGCUCGAGACCAUGCCCACAGAUAUGAGAGCCCUGCAGGACUUUGAGGAGGAAGACAAGCUCCAGAUUACAAUGAAUGAUGUUAUCACCAUCAUUGAAGGAAGGGCAGAGCACUACUGGUGGCGAGGUCAGAACAGGCGCACACUGCGUGUCGGUCAGUUUCCCCGUCAUGUAGUGACGUCAGUCGCCGGUCUUUCCGCCCAGGACAUCAGCCGGCCACUUAAACACUCUUUUAUACACACUGGACAUGGAGACACAGACCCCCAGAGGAGCUGGGGACACGCAGACCGCAUAGACAGCCUGUACUUGGGGAACCCCAUGGACCCUCCUGAUGUCCUGGGAAUGGAUUCAGGCAUUGCGAGACCGACCAAACUUCCCAACCGUGCCAAGAAGCUACCUCCCCCUCGUCCACCCCAACCUGCCGUUCUGCUCAAGAAGCCGUUCUACGACUCUGUGAUGGACGAUUACGAUGACGAGGAAGACGCCAGCGCGUCGUCUGGGUUGAAGAAGCUGGGAGCAUCCCUAGGUCUGAAGCUUCGGCCGUGGGAGGGGACAGGCGUGCGUUCAGCCAAGAGCGAGGUGUCGCUUAUUGACUUCACCGAUGACAGUUUCAGCUCUACCACACCUUCUCCGCUCACUGAGUCUCGGCAGCUGGAUGAGGACACCCUAAAGGACACUCCCUCCAUUCUGGACUGGCCUCUCCCCCAGCCAGCGUACGAUGAAGUUACUGCAGAGGCUGAGGAUCAAUCAGAGGACCAGGAAGUGCGGUCCAUAUACAAAGGGUUGACUGAAGAAGCUUCUUCAUCCGCUGGUGGUGGCUUGACAGGAAGGAGCGAAUCCCAGUCAGCUGACCUCUUCCAGGAGCUACAGAGGGAGGUGAUGGUGAAGCUGCAGGUUCCAAUGGCAACAGGCCGCUCCCUCCCCUCUUCCCCACUCCCCAUGCCUCUGGCUCCUUUGGGCCCGCACCGACAGAUCCAUCUUCCCCCUCCAUCUCCCUCGUCUGCCUCCUCCUUUGCCUCCUGCUUUGAGGACAGGCCUGUGCUGCCUCCUCGCAGUCCCGUCCCUCCUCUGCGUCCCUCCAAACACAACCUCUCCGCCCGUGCCAUAAACCCAGAAGCACGCACCAGCUCCAUUUCACUGGGCAACGAAGAUGACACACCCCCUCAGAUCCCACCCAGAGACCACGCCUUUUCUCAGCCAGGCUCCCGCUCCUCGUCACCUGUAGCAUUGCCACCUCCUCCUCUCGCCGUCUCGCCCCGUCGGGCAUCGGGACUGCUGGGUCCACUCCUGUCCUCCAACUCUCCAUCGUCGUCUUCCUCUUUGCCUCAAGCUUCAUCCCAUUCCUCACGCUUAGGACUUCCUGGCUCAUCGUACUCCUCCACGUCCUUACUGGAUCCACUCGCCUUUCGUGAGGGGCGUGGCCUUUCCUCACUGAUUGACAGUUCGCAGAGCUCUGCCCCCGUCCCACUGCCGGAGAGACCAGCUUUUCUGGAGAGAUACGGAGCAGCCAACAUGGCGGCAGUCAAACCUAUGAUGCAGCAGCACCCUAGUGGAGCCAAACCGAACACCUCCUACAACAACAAUAACGGCCGAGCUGCAGCUCCCAGCAUUCAACGGGAACAGAGCAUCACACAGGUCCAAGGAGCUGUGCACGGUGUCACGAUAGAGGAGUGUCAGGCUGCUCUGCAGAGCCACGAGUGGAGCAUCCCUCAGGCCAUAAACCAUUUAAAGGUGGAGCAGCUGUUUCGGCUAGGGCUGCGUUCAAGAGCCGAGUGCGAGGAGCUGCUGCAGCAUCACCAGUGGGACCUGGAACAUGCCAGCACGGUCAUGCUGGACACAUACGGACCACAUCGCAACAGGGGGCAGUGUCAAAAGUAUGUGGAACCGCUGAAUGUGGGAGCUUUUUGGAGCCAGAGUUGACUACACUGCAAAAAUUAAAAAAGAAAAAAGGAAAAAAUAACAGCACAAACGUGGUCAAGAGGAGGUCAGCAAGUCAUAUUCUGCUGUGGUGACAGCUAACAGAAAACCAGCAGCCUCGUAAAAAUCCAUCUGUCAUUCAUGCAUCCCCAAUAAAAAUGAAGUGAGAGCAGGAGGACAAAUUGAGCGGCAGUCACCUUCUGACAAGCUCCCGAGCUCAUCUGGAUCAGCGCGCUGACACAGAGUCGGCAGGAUGACUCAUUGCUCCAAAGACCAGAGACGCUUUUUAAUGACCAUUAAAAAGCGUCUCUGAAGCAGCAUGUGUGAAUACCUGCUACUACCUGUGUCACUCGCAUGUUCACUAUAACCUAAAGGAGCAGCUGUUACAUGAUUCACAAUAUUUACUUGAACAGUUGUUAUUUAUCUUUUUUUUUUGGUUGUUCUUUUUUUUUUAUCAUUGCAUUAAUCCAGAGUUUGUUUCAGCUGGUAGCUGCUGCAGACGUUUUCUGGUUGUGAGGUUGUUGUAGAGGCCUGUGUGUGUGUGUGUCUGCGUGCGUGUGUGUGCAUAAGCUUACUGUAAUGUCAAAUGGCUUUUUGCUGUCAAAAAGAAUCAGGGAGGUAUGAGCUGGCGUAUAGUUGCACUUUUAGGAAAAAUAUACAAUUAAUGUUGUAUAAAACAUUUUACCGAGCAUGUCAACAAAGAUGCUAACUGCUGGUCAGAAGAACAAUCUAUCAGUGAAGUGAAAAUGUUGAUAUGACUGAAGGCAUAUCAGAUAUUAUUAUUAUUACUGUAUUUUUGUGUCUUAAAGGUUCCACGUGGAGUUUUCAUGUAAAAAGGCAUUCAAAAGUCUUGAAACCUGCAUUCUUCACAUCCCAGCAUGUCGUCGUCUUUCCUGCCGUCGCUGGCAAAUUGCAAUGUGAAUCGUAAAAACUGCUUCAUAGUGCUUUGAGAGUUCAAGAACUCCACAGGUUGCCUUUAAGCAAAACAUUUCUGGCUUUACAACAGUAGGAAUUCUGAGUGAUGUCUUUAGUUUUUAUUAUAGGAAUAUUCCUACCUUUUCCUCGUGGAUACAGGGUAUUAGUCAAAUCUCUGCACAUUAGAUAUCUACUGCUACUUUAAACUCAUGGUUAUUAUAUCUUACUGUGAUUCUGCUGUAUGAUAAUCAUCAUGCUGAAGAACCUGUCAUGCACUUGAUUUAGUGGGCUACUGCUACGUGCUGUCGAUGCCAAAUUUCAUAAUGCGUGUGCAGAUAUUAAAAAUUUUAACAGCUACAUGGAAAAGUUUCUUUUUUUUUUUUUUACAAAAAAACAAACAACAAAACUGGAAAGUUAAACUUCAGACAGGUGGUAGCAGCUUGGUGAAUAUGUUUAUAGCAGUCAUAACUCAGUAUGUGUGAAGCAUUCAGUUAAGCUCAACUAUGAAAUCUGUUUAAUGUGACACUGACUAUAAUGUACUGUUUAAUCUGAGUUGCUUACAAAUGUAAAAUGCAAAUAUGGCCUUCGUUGUUUUAUAAUAAACUGUAAUCUCAUUUC
Molecule: RNA transcript, 5138 nt
Organism: Maylandia zebra (zebra mbuna)
Lineage: Eukaryota; Metazoa; Chordata; Actinopteri; Cichliformes; Cichlidae
Gene: tnk2a
Gene name: tyrosine kinase, non-receptor, 2a
Source: RefSeq, a predicted model, not a curated record